CAGUUCGCCUGCAGUCAAUUGUUCAAGUUGAUAACUACUGCACAGAUCUUAUUGACAGCAAGCAAAUGGUCUGUACAUACCAAAUUUGACGCAGUCUUAGUUGGACAAUUGACUGAGAUACUGAACAUAGCUUAACAAGAGGACCCCCAUGAAUCUUUCUUUGGUUACCAGGGCGACAAUCCAAUCGGAGAAUCUUAACUGAACGUUGUCAUGUUUAGUUGGAGAACCAUUGGUGUAAAUCAUAUCUGCUUUAACUUGGCGUAUAAUUUUUACAAAAUGAUUUGAACAUUUAGCAAGACUAUCGAAGAUUUAAUUAGAGUGAUUGGAAGUAAACUAGUUGUGAUAUUUUACCGGUUUGCGUCACAAGCAGGAAUUUUGUUAUAUUUUCCCCGUCAUUAGACAUUGAUAAUAUGUUUGUUGAAACUCAGAAACAAGAUAGACCAUUACAACACAUAAAAACUAUGUAUUUUGUAAACAUUUUCCUUUGUUAUAUACACUUUUAGAAUGUAUUUUGAAUUAAAAUUGAAAUGAAGCUAAUUUCAAAAACAUUGAUUGAAGUCACAAUGGAAGUGAUGAAGUAAUAUUUCUGGCGAAUUUAUCUCACAAAGACACAGUUUUUAUUGAUUUUGUUUUGUUUUAGCAAAAUUACAACAAAAAACUAUUUACAUCAAAAGGGCUAUGAAUUUUACAAAUGUUCCAGUUCUAAAAAAGUAAAUAUUUGUGGUUUUUAAUUGUUUUUUCUAUUGUUUUGUCUAUAUAAGAUUGACGAUAACUUCCAAAUUUGUUGUUCAAUAUUUAAUUUAUUUGACAUUAAAAUUGUUUUAUUGAUAA
This is a long non-coding RNA of Mytilus californianus (California mussel), 831 nucleotides long. RefSeq lists it as uncharacterized. The transcript is spliced from 2 exons. The record is from RefSeq and is a predicted model, not a curated record. Lineage: Eukaryota; Metazoa; Mollusca; Bivalvia; Mytilida; Mytilidae.